RNAcentral lists this long non-coding RNA (2344 nucleotides) under Gossypium barbadense (sea-island cotton). RNAcentral's name for it is "long non-coding RNA (GBAR_LNC006863)". Lineage: Eukaryota; Viridiplantae; Streptophyta; Magnoliopsida; Malvales; Malvaceae. The record is from RNAcentral.
UUGCGUUAAGGCUUCACACGCCCAUGUGCUCAGGCCGUGUGGCCAGAAAUAGGCUAAUUAUCAAGCCUUUUGUCACUCUUACACCACAUGCAUAGAUACAUACUUAUCCAAUAACAUACAACGUGGCAUAAAUGAGCUCUUAAACAUCUACAAACAUGUUAUGCUCAAGUUAUUUUCUUAUGCAAUAAAUAUUAUAGAAUUUGCCCAUAUCAUUACCACAUACUAGACAUAACUAUCAUUACAUCACAAACCAUUCAUGAAGCAUUAUUAACUAUUUAUCAAUCACUUAAUCCUGCAUUAGUUACUAGCUCAUCGAUGAAUCUCAAUUCAAUCUCUAGGCAUACAUGUUGUAAGCCACAUCACAAGAGAUAAUAACAUACAUGCAUAAGAAUAAUCAUAUGGGCCCAUAACGAUAUUAGCCGACAUAGGCCAAUUUACAUGACUAAUACUACCUUAAUAACAAGCCAAUGCCUUUGGCUAAAUCAUAAUAUUACAUACUCACAUUAAAACCCUAUACAUGCCAUAGACUAGAAUCACUUGAGUUUACUUACGCCGAUAGCGUUAACUCGACAGUGUGAUAAUAUCUCUGACGGCCUCCAACCCGAGCUAACCUGGAAACUCUAGAAAACAUGGGAAAGAAGGGGGGGUAAGCUUUCGCUUAGUAAGUUCAUAUGAAAACAACAAGCAACUCAUUAACUUGUUUUAUCAAUGUUUACAACAUAUUUUCAAGUUCACAACAAGCUGUCUUUCUGAGCAACAGUCACUAAAUUAUUUAUCUAUGGAGCUACGAAACUCCGAAUUAAGUUCCGUAAAUUUUCCCUGAAACUAAACUCAUUUAUAUUUCUUCCAUAAAAUUUACAGAAUUUUUGGUCAGGCCAUUUAGUACAGUUUAUUAGUUAAAGUCUCCCUUGUUUCAGGGUAUGACUACUCUGACCCCUGUGCACUAUGAACCGAAUUUCUCCUUGUACAGAAUUUCAACGGCCAUGCCGUUUAUUUCCCCUAAAAAUAGACUCAAUAAGGAAUCCAUUCAUGUAAGGUAUGACUCUUAAUAAGUUUUUUACAAUUUAUGGUGAAUUUUUAAAGUCAUAACAGGGGAUCUCAAAUUCAUUCAGACCCUAUUUCACAAGAAUUCAAAUAUCACACAAUAUAGAAUUCUUUUUCUUCCUCUAUUUCUUUCAUGUGAAAAUAGACUCAUUACGCUUUAAUCCCACAUUUUAUUCUACCCCUAACUCAUUUUUCACUAUUUUUAGUGUAUUUUCAAAGUUACACUACUGCAGUAACUCAAAUCUGUCAAGGCUAAGUUAUUCAUGGUCAUUGUUCAUAAUAUUAAUACAACACCAUUUUAUCCAUCAUGGUAAGAACACAUAUUAUGCAUCAUAGAUCAUCACAUAUCAAGGCAAUCUCAUAGGAUUAGUAUACAUACUUGCACAACUCGUAACAUAACUCGAGUGCAUACUCACCAAUGACUUACCUCAUUGGGACCAUCAUCAACUCUUUCCUUGGAUUGCCCGUUGAACACUUGGAAUAUUAAUUGGAAUAUCUAUACAAUUCAUGUAAUGAUAACAUUUAAAUACAUGUAUAGCAUGGGAUUGUUUACAUACGAACUUACCUCGAUACCACAAAGGUGAAAAGGACAUACUCGUCCAUAAAUCGAUUUCUUUCCGUUCUAGGUCCAAGUCUCAAUUUUCAUCAUCUAUAGCAUCACAUUUAGCCUACCAAUCAGUCACAAUAUUCAUAUGGGUCUAAAAAUCAUAUUUUUACAAAUUUUCAUUUUGACCCCUAAACUUUUGCAUAUUUGCACUUUUGCCCUAAUGCUCGUAAAUUAAUUUUUAUCACAUUUCUUUACUCCUUGAGUCUAGAUGAACCAUUUUCAUAACUAUAGCAACUCAUAAUUUCAACUAUUUUACACAUUUACAACUCAUUUUACAACUUAGCAAUUUAGCCUUUUUUAAGGUAUUUUCAUGCAAUUUCUUUCACAAAAGUUGUUUAUUAGACAACUAGGACUCAUAAUCUUCCAUAAAAACACAGCAAAUAACACAUUUACUUUCAUAGAAAAACCCUAGACUCUUCAUCAUUUUGCAAAAUAGUCCCCUCUUAUGAAAGCUCAUGCUUUAGGGGUUCCAAAAAUGUAAAAAUCAUCAAGCAAAGACAUUAAAAUCACUUACAAGCAAGGGAAAUAUGUUGCUGAAAUUUUCCAGCUUCAAAACCCUUUCUUUGCUGCAUAUUUCGGUGAAGGAGAAGAGAAAAAUGAUAGCUUUUUCUUUUUGAUUUGUUAAUAAUAAAACUAGUCAAAAUUGGUGACCAAAUUUCACCUAAUUUUGACUUUUCAACAAUUUUGUCUCCC